Long non-coding RNA from Hemiscyllium ocellatum (epaulette shark), 844 nucleotides. RefSeq lists it as uncharacterized. The record is from RefSeq and is a predicted model, not a curated record. The transcript has 4 exons. NCBI's taxonomy places the organism in Eukaryota, Metazoa, Chordata, Chondrichthyes, Orectolobiformes, Hemiscylliidae.
UGAGUAGAGGAGCGCAUGAGUGAGACCCUCCCCCAGCGCUACUAUUGAGGAGCAUUUACUCAGUGAGUGCAAGAGGUUUGUUUGAAACAGACCGCAAUGGAGAGAUCAGCGCCCAGGGAAGCGAGGGAACAGCAGGCUCCUUCCAGCAGCACAUCGGGAUGGGAGCCUGGGACACAGAGGGGGCUCCGAGACCGGGACUGAUUCGGGGAAAAACACCUGAGGGACUAAGACGCUAUAAUACUUCCUCAGUUCAAAGCAAAGAGUGACCAGCUGCCUCUAACAAACGGAAGGGUUGUGAUUCAAAUUCAAAGAAGAUCUGACAAAUUAGAAUUGACAGUGGGGCAGUCGUGGUGUGUAGGAACACCAAAUGCUGCCAGACCUGCUGAGUGACUGAGGAAAUUUUUAGUGGUCAUGUGAAGUCUUCAGCUGCACCCCAGUGAAGAACAAGCACGGAUCAUGAAUGAAGAAUGGAUUACCUGGCACUGUGAGACAGAUGGACUUACUGGUCACAUUGGAUAUCAUUCCACUGGGACUCCUGUUGAUCAUGAGACACUGGUACUGGCCUUGGUAUUGGGACUGGAAGGAUUCAAUGACCAGCUCUGUCCUGUCUGAGCUCGAGUUGUAAUUCCCACUGGCAUUGUUUAAGGCUUUCAGAUGAAAGUACCAUUGAAAGUAGGGGGUCCAGUACCUCGGCUCCCAAUCAGAACCUCCAUUUUAGUGGCUAUGGAGGGGGUGGGGGGAGGAGGAGAACCCCAGCAACAUGAACUAGAACAAAACAAGACAAAAAGGAAACAACAGAUCGGACGUUUGAAAUUGUCUCUUUUGUCACAGAUGUUAUCUUCGA